Molecule: transfer RNA, 66 nt
Filed under: Cicadellidae sp. 'Neodcortus squaras'
Lineage: Eukaryota; Metazoa; Arthropoda; Insecta; Hemiptera; Cicadellidae
Description: tRNA-Met
Source: RNAcentral
AGAAAGAUAAGCUAAGAAAGCUAUUAGGUUCAUACCCUAAAUAUAGACUUAAAAGUCUUCUUCCUA